UUUCUACUGCAUACUGCUAUGAUACAGCCUUCAGGGUUAUUUCUGCACAAUAGGCAUUCAGUAUGGUAUUCUCCGCUCUUCUAGGAAAGCCAUACAAAUGUGAACUACAAAGCAAAAAUCCUUCAUACAUUUUUUAAAAAGCAGCAUUAGUAAAACAAGUAUGUGAAGGAAAUAUGGCAUUCCAAGUAUUAAGCAAUAUAAAAUGAUGAGUACUUUGUUUAUUAUUGCAUUGUGGUCAAGGACUAGUAUGAACUGUAAUUUAUAACAAAUUUGCUGUUUUUGAAAUCUGGAUAUUUUUCUCCGUAGUGAAAUCAUACAGGAUUUGCCAGCUUCCUAAAAUUAUCAUCAUUAGGACCCAUAUUACUAAAGAAAGUGUAUAAAGAAGCAUGCAAGGUUAUUGUUACUAUGUACAUAUACUCUAGCUUUUGAAUAUGCAUGAAGGUUAUAUUACAACUAGGAACAAAUGCAUAACAUUCUUCUGCUAAUCAGUAGCAGAUCAGAAAUUUGGCAAUCUUUUCUUGUAAGUUCUUCCAUAAUGUGUGGUCUGUUACUCUAGAUGCAACCUGACACUUAUGUUUACAUUAUUCAAUAGUAUAAUUUUUGUAAGACUUCUGGAGGGAAUGCGUCACAGCAAAAGCAUGCUUUUCAUUGGUUUUCAUACUGCUUUUGAAUCCUCAGGAAAAAAAAAAUCCCAUCAUAUGUACCAGACAGUUCAUAUUUAUCUGCUCUCUUGUAUCCCUGAAGCUAUGUUAACUACUUAAGAACAAGAGGAAAUAUUUGGGAUUUGUAUUUAUAAAUUGAACAUUUGUAAUGAUAACUACUAGUGGAGACAUCUCAACUUUAACAGAUUAUUAGGAAAAAAUGCACCUAUUAUAGCAACUCUUUAGAGCUUUUAUUUCUAACAUUUUCUAACACAGAUGUAGAGAGAUUUUUUUUUUUACCUGCCUGUGCAUUCAGCUUUCUUAUAUACUUUUUUUUUUUAAUUUAAAAAUUAGUAAUAUCAUGUCAGGUACACAAAUAAGGGAAGAAAAAUAAUACUGUAUUUCAGUGAGGGUGGUUAUUUGCUUACCUAAUUUCAUAGUUUGGGGUUCAGGAAAUUUCAUUUAAUGUAUAAGAGUUCAUGAGUCACUAUGUAAAUAAGAUGCACCAACUCAAUAGACCUACAUUUCCCUAAACAUAUUAUGAGUUGUGUUUGUUUAUUCUAGCACUGUUCUUUAAUACUAAAAAAAUAUCUAAAUAGCAUUUUGAUAAUGCCUGAAUUUACAGUGUCACAUUUCCCUAAUGUAACCUCAGGUGAUGGAUAGAUACAUAGGUCUGAAAGAGACUGCAGUCCAAAGACAGACCUGCAAAAUAAACACUCUUAUAUCUUCUGUUUUGUAUUUAAAUGUACAUUAUUCUAAGUCAGGGUUUUUCAUUUCCCUGUCUAACUAUGAGAGUUUAUCCCUUCAGUUGAGCUAGUGAUACUAAUUCAAAAUACAACUGUUCUGUUCUCUCAGUGCUAAUGUAAAUGAAUCGUAAAUGAGGUGGCUAUUUCUAAUGUCAUUAUGUGUUCUCAUCAAGUUGAAGGCACUCUUUACGUAGUUGUUGAUUUGCUUUUUUUUUUUUUUCAGAUCUGAUACUAGCAGCCAUUGAAUCAUUUUGCUCAAUACUACUGUUUGCUUGUCAGCUUUUGGUACAUAUAAACUAAAUGAUCUUUUUAUCCUCAGUUCUUUCCAGCAUUAAGUUAAAUGUCAGACUGAAUAGUAUUUUCCUACAGUACUGUGCAUGUAGGCACGCAUUCUAGAUGCACAAAUCCUUUUCCCCAGACUCUUGUGGGGCCUGAAACAAAAUGAUGUCAAAUUAGAAUAACGUUUAUACGGUUUAAUGUGUAUAUUUAGAUAUAGUCUGACAUCACCUUACAGGUGGCUUUUCUGUGCACAUCAGAAAGGAGCAGCAAGAACAGGUGGAAAAUGGGUUGGGGUUAUCUAUUUUCUGUAUUCCUUUUAAAACUCUUUAUUUUGAAACUGAACUCCUUCAUGAGUAGAUGCUUGCAAGGUUAAUAUAUAUAGUAACAUUAUUAUGGUUAUUAAAAGAGCCUAAUUGCCUGUUGUAAUUGAGUUCCCAGUACUUCUAUGGGCCUUGUAUUCCUACGUGUGUGUACACUUGCUAGAACUUGAUCAAUGUGGAUUCCUUUGAAUUACCUAAAGUCCAGUUUGAAUCUGAAAGUACUAAAACAUUCCUUGUCUUGGUAAACUCAAAUGAAAUUGGAGGGGGAAGAGUAUUGUAACACUGAAUUAUUAAGCAGUAGUCAGUUGCCUUCUUGCUGCAGCCCAGCAUGUGUUGAAUACAACAGAAGAAUGAGCUCUAAUGAAAUAGUGAAAAAUGAAGGUGGUCUAAAUUGUGGAUGUCAGAAGAAAGCGGGGCUUUUAAAUGUAAAAGGAGUUAAAUGUUCCACUUACAUAUAACUAAUGCAAGAAAUGAUGUUUUUGUCACAAGUAUUAGUCGUUUUCUGUGAAUGUUGAGUAAAACUUAUGGACAGUAAAAUCCAAAGAAAGUAAUACAAAUUGAACAAAGCUAAACAAAAAUACAGUUCUUGCAUCAUAUUUUGAAUCUCUGGCCACCGAUUAGGUCAUAUUCCAAGAGUCUGGACAAAUAGCUGGGUGAAAAGUAGUCUCUCAAGACCCUGCUUGUGUUAGGAAAUUUGGGCUAUAGAGGACAAAGGCUGCUGGCAGCAUAUCUCCCUCAGGUAAUGUUACAAACAGCUUAACUGUUUGUGUGUAUGGAAUAAUUUAGUGUUCAUGAUUGUUACAUCAGGCUUCGGUGGUUUUGCCUAAAACUGGGAUAAAACUCUUCAAAAUUACCAUGAUUUGUUUCAGUCGUUAUAAUUACGGUGCUAUUGGUAUUAGCUAGAAGAAGUCCAGCAUAUGUGCUUUAAGCAGGUUCCCAGUCAGCACAGGUGACGCUGCAUUGUGGUUGUCUAGCAAAGAGUCUGUAGAGGCUAGACACACUUGUGGAGUAGCUGUCUGCAUAGGGCAGGUGCCAUACCAAAUACUCCCCUAAUAUUUGCCACUAAAAUAACUUUUCUGUAAUGGUUAAGUGUUGCAAGAGUAUUUUGAAAUUAGAGUAAGUGGCAGAAGAUAUCUCAUGCAUCUCAAAAGUAGGAUACUCCACCAGUAAGUAACACACAUGUAGUGACACAAAGCAAAAAUGAAUGCAAGCACAGUUGUAGAGUUUGGUCACUGGGGAGAUGCUAGAAACAUUGUCGAACAGUGGUUAAGGAUCAGAUAUUAGUUGCAGCCAUCUCACAGAUGUUUUUAUUCUGCAUUAGGCCAAGAUGAAAUAGGAUGGGUUGCUACACAGAACUAAGCAUUUGAGAACAGCAGUGUCAAGUGCAAUUGACAUGGUACUAAAGUGAUUUUUGCAGCAUUUGGGAAUGUGUAGGCUAUAUCACAAGCAUGGCAGGCUAACCACAAUAAUUCUAUUGACACUUCAGCUGCUGUCCUGAAACUGCUAAACUUUGUCAAUACUGUUAAUUAAGCUUUUUCAGCAGUAGUUCAGAAGUCUCAUAUCUGAAAAUCAAUAGAGGGACAGUUUUCUUCUGAUUGUAGACAAACUUAUAUGUAGCUGUCAUUGACAAUACCUUGCAUGCUGCAGUAUAUGUUGAAUUUGGCACAGAAAAUCUGACCCUUUUUUGGAGAUCAGCAGUUCAUACUUUCCAGAUCAUGUUCAUGACUAGCAGUCAGUGCUGCAUUCUGCAGCAGCCUAGGCCAAAACUGUUUAGUAACUAUUGUGAAAUGGGGAUCAAGAGUCUUAGCAGCUUCCUCUUGGCUGUCCAUAGGUAACAACAGUUAGUGUCUGUUGUAAGUGUUUACUACGGGAUAAUCCAGGAGUAGCAGUAUUAGUAGGGUUCUCGGAACACAAACCUCUUCAGGGAAAAAAAGUAUGCAUGGACUUUCAAUAACUAGUUGAGGAAACACUCUAGUCCAUUUUUUCUACAAGACUGCAGUAUUAGCAAACAUCACACGGUGUUUUCAGGAUUGAGUCAUGGUUUGUUCACCUUCAUCCAAAUCCCAGUUUUGGCGAGGCUUGGAAUGUAGUGAAAUUGUAUGAUCUCAGUUUGAAGAGUGAAGUGUGGACUGUAUGUAUACUAUAAUAAACAGGAAUAAUACUGCAGCUCAAAAUAAAAUAUACAAACAAGUGAAAAAUAGCCUGGAAUGAUGAAACUUCUUUGGAUAUCAAUCUGAUAGUCUACAGUGCUGUGAAACAAAGGACACAGCAAAUUAAGCUUUAACAUGCUUUUUGAAGUGUGAUUGUUCCUAUCAGCCUUUCCCAAGAACCAAGAGUAUACAAUAUACUGCACUCUGAAAAACAAGGCAGUAAUGUGUCAUAAAGUUACGUGCAAGACAGUGAGACAUUGCAUUUGAAGACUGCUUAUAGGAGCUGUUUUUGCAACUCAGUGAAGAGAAAUACUUGGCAAAGCAUCCAUUUAUUAAAGACAGGCUUACUAGAUUUCCUUUUCUUGAAACUACUAUUCAGCCAAGAAUUCUCCAAGCAUUACCACUGUGUUAGAUAAUAAGGGUAUCAUGGAUAUUCUAUGUUUUGGUUUUCCAAAAUUCUGUUAACCCCUUGUGGGUGAUUCCUUGAGGGUUAGUUGAAGCUGUUCAUAAAGCAUUUUAACAGGAUGAAAAAAUUUAGAAUAAACUUUUCUUCAUUUAAUCCUCUCUAACUGCAAUAUUUAUUCAACUGGUUACCAUAAAGAAUUCAGUUUAGGAUAGUGUUCCUCUUUAGAUGAGGAAUGUAACUUCAAAAAAUUUUGUGUGCCUUAUACUUUGGCCAGAAUGGCCUCGUGUAUGUCCCGUAGCUUGAAGAGGUACUUUAUUCCAUCACAGUUGUCACAUAAGCAGGUGGGCAGGUUAUUUGAAUUCUAUAUUGUACUCGGGAUUCAGAAUGGAUGAAGAGUGGUUUGGUGCUGGUACAGAAAAUGUUUAAUACGGUGUGUUUUGUCUUGUUUCACUUCAUAUUCAAUGCAUUGUGUUUAGUUUACAUUUAGUCAUCUGUAUCUGUGAUGUUUGACACUUCAAUGGUAUUAGUUGCCAUUGCAGAAGAUGUUUAAGAUAUUAAGUCAUGUUCUAGAAGUACUUCAAAAUUAAAUGAAUUCUUUCAAUAUAAAUGAAAUAUUCAAAACUUUAAAUGUUUGCAAGUAAAAAUACGUACUCAUCUACCUGAAUUGUGUCUAAUUUAAGUGUGGACUUAAGCUGAGUUAAACACUUUUACUCUUUUUAGGAUCACUAAUAGUUUGUGUGUGUGCAUUUUUUACUGGAAAACAUUAUCUUUAAAAACAUUUUUCUAUUUCCUUUUUUUUUUCAGUGAAGAUUAACAAAUUCUGCCCUGGGGAGAAAAAGACUGUCUUGGAUGAUUUUGUCAAGCUGUUGAUGUGAUGUUUAAUAUUUAAAGGUUUUAAUGGUUUUGGGGAUGGUGAUAAUCCUUCUCACUUUGCUUACACCAUGCUGGUGUGUCUACCAGAGCACUGUUUAUUUCUAAACAGUGAUACUCAGUUUAAAUAACAUGUCAGUUUCUUUUGUAGUUUUGACUGGUAGUUGCAUUUGGUUUUCAGUACAGUACAAGCUCAGGUGUAGGGGGUGUGUGUGGAGCUACAGAUUAUCUAGCCAUUUACACAUUUUCAGCACUGCUAAUUCAGUAUGUUUUGUAAUUAAAUAAUUGGAAUAUCCUAUCUUAGUUUUGCCUGUACUGCUUGCUACAACUUGUUUUUGUAAGCAAUUGUAGUUUGAUGAAGCUUACGAUGGUUUGGAAAACCUGGCUGGCUGGAUACUGAUAGACAGCUUUCUGUAAGAAUGUCUGCAGGCAACAAGUUACUCCUCAAGAUGAAGCAGCCUCCUGUUCCUUCUGAACACUUAUAGGAUGUAUGUGUGUGUGUAUAUAUAUAUAUUUUUUUUAAUACAGAAAACUUUACAUUUUGCACAUGGCCUUGAACCUAAUGUGAAGUGCUGCAUAGUUUUAUCAAUGAGCUGCAGUUGCACACUUAUCCCUGUAUAUGUUUGUUUAGUUUUAGGAUAGGGUAAAUGAUCUGGAUUUCUUCCUCUGAGAGCCUUUUCUUCUGGUGGAUGGUAGUGCUGUCUCUGCUGGGUAUUGGAAGGAGGAGUGACUGAGAUUGAGCUUACACAACCUCCUAACAUCUCGAGUGUCUGUUUUGUCUGGACUUCCUUCAUGCAGCAUUCUUGUGCAAAAAUUUCAGGGCUUUAGUCUGGAAGCACUGGGUCAAAGAAUAUGUCUGCUUGAAGAGUAUGCAAGCGAUUUUUUUGUUUCAUUACACAGUAUUUUUAUUUUCUAUCAAGGAAUACUUGUUCUGAAGUGCUUGCUACAGUGGCUGUUCAGAAAAAUAAAAGGAGUAUAUCAUGUUUAGUUUGUCUGGUUUCUAAGGGGUUAUUCAACAUGCAAAUACUUGUUUGGUUUUGUAAGUCUAAAUAUGCAAGCAGUGUUUCUAAUCUGCUAGAAAGAAUAAAAGUAAGCUGUUGAUACAGUCUAGUAAUCAAGAGGAGUAAGAAGUAACUUCAUUUUUGGAACAGUUUUGUUUUGUAUUUCUGAUUUUUAAAGACUAGGUCAUACUUUCAUGUUCUCAUAAACAAUGCCGUUAUCCUGGCCUUGUCUAGAAUGCUAAAGUUAGUAUCCCCUGUUAUUGAAUAUUUCUGUAGAUGACAUGAAUUCUUUUUGUCUUGUGAGGAGUAGUGAAUAAACAAGUCCUUGUAGAGACCUUGUUUUUCUGUCCACUAAAAUGUCUCUUUCCUCGUUUGUGUAGUAAAUCCAAAUUUAGAUAGAUAAGACACGUAUUCUGCUUACUGUCUGAGAAAAUUCUAUGUACAGACUUGAAAGCGGUUUCUAGUCUUGAAGUUCAAGCUGAAUUGUUUUAUUAGUCAGAAAGAAAAAGCUUUCCUUGUCUGAAAGGGAAAGUUGCAGACCAGUAAUCCCAUAGGAUUGGGCAUACUGCAGAAGAGCUUGGUGCUUUUUAACAACUACCCAUUUCUACUAAGAUGAUCAAUGAUGAAAUGGAAAAUGAUGUUCUUCCAGGACAGCUUGUUGUGUGCCUUUAAACUACUUUAGGGGUUGCUUUCUUAAAUCAGGAAUGUUAAACUGUGUUAAGUGAGGACAUGGACCAUGGAGAGAGCAACUGAUGUUCAGACCACAGAGUUUAUUAGUUCUUGUGUUGUGAAGUCUUGCAUGCAUUGUAGGGAGGUUCUCAAUCUCUUGUUUGGUCUUGACAUACUCAGUGCUAUUCAUUCCAUAAAGCCCAACCAUUUAUACUUUGUGUAAAGGAAUAUCUUUGCUUGAUGGGAAAUAAUUUUAAUCCUGUUAACUAUUAGCUUGUAUAAUUUUAUUCUUUAUUCUUCUGGUUUUUAUUCUUUCUUAAGUGACCACAUUUUUGCCACCGUGCCUACUCCAUUUGAAAGCAUUCUUGGGUCAAAUAAUUCUAGCUGUCUGAUAAGUCAGAAGUUGAAUAACAUCUUCUGUUUCCAAAACAAUUUCUUACUAUUUUAUCACUGUUUAGUAAACAUAAUAGUGCAUUGUAGUCUCCUUUGAUUUUUUUCCCCACAGUAAUAGAAAACCGAAAAGGAAAGCUGUAGUGGAUCAAGUUGAAUUACUGUAUUUGAAUACCUAUUUUUUUUUAUCUUCAUGACAGGUUUCUCUAUUAUAUUAGAAAGUACAAGACCAUGGUUUCUGUCCUGACACAAAAUGUGAAUACACAGUUGGGGAAUGUAACAGAGCUUAUAAAUAAAGUGCUUCAAGAAUUGAAAGAUGGGUUGGUGAGGGGGAAGUUUUCUACUCAUUGUUAUGAAGUCACAUUCAAAUUUGUACAACACAUGUUGGAUUUUCAGAAGUCCCAUCGCCUGUGGAACUGUUUUUGGAAACUGACUCCUCCUUUCCAUAAUGUCAGUAUGUAGAUUUAAAAGUAUUAAACGAACUUAUGAUGAUUCCAGCAGUGUGACAAUUUCUGCUUCUGUUAGACCCACUUCUUGGCAUGUUCUUCUCUCUAUACCCAGUUUUUCUUCCAUGUUUUCUGCAAAACUGUCUAUGUAAAGAGAUUUUCUUUAAAUAAAAGUGUUCUUGCCAUCUUUGUUAUUAUUGAAUUCUGUCUCAUGUUUAUGGUGUUUGGUUUUCUAUUUGUUUGUUUUCAUGUGGUUCUUUCACUGCUUUUCAACUUUUUUAUUAAUUGUUCUGUAGCGUGGUUAGAUGGGAGAACAUAGUACGGGUAGCACAUGUUCACAGAUUACUGUGAUAAUGCAGAAAGAUUGUGAAGCCUGAAAGAAAGCUGUAUUCUGUGUGAUACAGACUUUCCUAAGGGCAAAUAUGCUUUUUUCCCUUGUUAUGUCUGUAGCUGUUAGAUAAAUGUUGUCUGACCAUGUUGAGUUCAUUCUGCUCCAUUUUUCCAUUCACGAUUUGCAUAGUAGACUUUGUUCUCUUGCACGUAUUUCAAAAACAAUGUAGUGAAAUGUAAAAAUGUAAAUAUCCUCAUCCUGAGUUCCAACCUAAGCAGCUGAGCCCACCAAAUAAAAAGCCUCUUUCACAGCUGCUAUUUGGUGGGUAUUGUGCAAGCCAGUUCGUGCUUUGAUACAGCAGCUCGUACAGAAAGUGUAUUGCGAUGUGAAACGUGAAUUUAUAGCAAAACUUCAUGAACUUAGGCUGGUAAAACAGGUUGGGGGUGGGGAAGUAAGCAAGCUGCUGUGAACUCCUAUAAAGUACAGAAAACUUCUCCUUUCCCUCCUUUCUAACAAGUGUAAACUCUUGAGGUUAAGUAGGUGGGGCAACCGGAAGUAAUUACUAAGGCCAGUGGCAUUUUUGCGGUUUAAUAAAGGCAGAAGCUAAUUAUUCAGUUUUUAUUUAAGUGAAAUGAUGCCAAAAAGGAGGUUCCUGCCGAGCAGCUGCACUCCUUCAGUGUUACCCUAAUUUACCACAGACACAACUGUCACAAACAGAACUUUUAAACUUGAUAUAUAGCCACGAAAGUAAGGAGCCCUUUGUCCGGAGUGCAUGCAGAAGAACUCCUUUAUACAAAUCAACCGGCAGAUGACGGACAAUGAUGAAAAUUUGAUUCUUUGAAGUCAUAAUGGUCAUUGAAAUGUGUGAAAUUCUCGUAUUGAAAAGAGAGCGGCUAGCAAGACUCUAAAUCCUGGGUGGUUGCGGGAAGCUUGCUGGGAGGUUUUUCUGUGUUUUGACAUCAACUUCCCAUUGCUUGUUCCCUGUUUCCUUUAUUUAAAAAAAAAAAAAAAAGAGGGGGAUGCUAAACAGUAUAGUUGAUAGUAGUUAUGUACAGUUUUUGCCUAUGCAUGGGGAGAAAUGUCAGUGCUGAAAUAUGAUACCUUUACAAACACCUGACUCAUCCAGUCAAAAAUACUUAUUUUCAGAGAUAUUUUCUAUCGUUUCUGUCUUUGCCUUGAAUUACAGAGUUCAGUUCCUUGUCUCCUUUGGAGUUUGUGUUAUUAGUGGAGCACUACCAGAAAUUUUCCUUUCCUUUAAAAGUUAUCUUUAUGGUGAAUCCUGCUUUCAUUGACUCUGCCUGUGUAUGAGUUUUUCUCCCCCCCCUAUGUAGCACUUCCAUCAUUUUUAUUACUUCUUCCAGGACAGCUUUACCAGCCUUUCCAGCAUGACAAGUGUUCUUAAGUAGUGUAAGUUGUAAUAAAGACACAAACUCUUCUUGGUUUGUAAGCAAUCUGAUGUUAUUUCUGCUGCUUAAAUAAAUGCUUCGUCUCUCUGAGCUUAUUUCAAGAACCAAAUUUCCGCAAAUGGUUAUUAAAAAAAUUGAAAUUACUAUUAAAAAAGAAACACCGUAUAGAUAAAUAAUCCAAAAACGAAACGGUCAGAAUUCGUCUUUUAGAUGAUAGCAUGCAUUACAAACAUGAAGCAGAAUUGUUAAUUUUUAGUACUGCAAAGUUAUACAGUUCAAAUCCGAAGUCUUUUAUGUUAUCACCUUAUUAUUUAGAAUUUGUAAUGCUGAACACCUCACUAAUAUUUUUAUAUGCUAAUGGAGCAAAAUUCAGUAAAGAACACUUAAAAAGGAGGAAAAGAUAGUAGUGUGAAACUAGCUGUCAAAAACAUCAUUGUUUUGGAAAGUUGGUUCACAGGUAGUUUCAAUGAAAACUUGAACUCAGAACAAAGCUCUGAAGACACAGUAGAGAGUUCAACCCAGUGCAGCACAGUUCUUUUCAAGUAUUAUAUUGUUUUAAUGGAAUCUUGGAGCGGGAGCUUUAGCCCAUUGAAAUGUCGCUUAAAGGACAGGUUCUUCUGUCACUAGCUGGAGCUGUGUGGAUGAAAUGAUCACAAUAGAGUGUUGUAAUGCAUUUUAAAAGUGUGAGAAAUCAGUUUGUCUAGACUAAGAGUGCGCCUACAGGGAAUAGGAAUUUUAGAGCUUCUGUGCUCUUUAGGUGUCAAGUAUGUGAUAGAUGCCAAGCCUUUUUAUUCCAUAUCUUUGGCAACAGCUCAGCUAUGCUACAGUACCUUACAUGUCUACAGCAAGCAAAAACAGUGAUUUUAUGUCAGGACAACUUGGGCUUCAGAAACCAGAAACUCAUUGUCCUAACAACUGUCUGUUCAAUUGCCAGCUUUAAAAUGGGGAAGAUAUCAAUAAACAAUUGCUAGAUUCCCAGAAGGCAUGGAAACUUUAGCUAUAAUGAAUCAAAGUGUGAAGAGCUAGCAACAUCAUGUAGAUAUUUUAGUUUCUGAAAGUAGGCAGGUUUUAGCUUUCACCUUGAAAAGAUUUUUUUAUGGGAUGAAUCCUAUUAUUAUUAGUAAAAUAACUUUGAUUUGGAGCCAAACAAGUUCCCAAAAAAACAUGGCUUGAAGGAGCUUGGGAUUUGUCUGGGUUAUUGGUUUUGUUUUCAUCCAGAUGAACAAGUCUAGGCAUUUCUUUACCACAGUUACCUCAUAUAUAUAGCAUUUGCUGGUUUUUAAUAUAUAUUUUUUUUUUAAGUAGUGAUCUGUAUGCACUAAUAUGUAGUUUUUUUAUGGGUUUCUGGUGUGGAGGCUUCAAAAGAGAAAAUGUAAUACGUCUAUAAUGGUAGUUAGUAUAGUAUUUAAUCACAGAGAAUUCAUAAGCAAUUCACAAACCUGUAAAUCUGAAGCAUAAAAUCCAUAAUGGACAUACAAGUUGCUGUGUUAAAUAAUAUUUUUUAUAAAAAGAAAAAAAAAAGUUUUUGUAAUAUUUUCAAGCUUGCAAAUGUAGAGGUAUUUGAUUGCUAACUAAACCAGAAUCUAUCAGUGUAGCAGGAUCCAGAUGAUUUCAGAAGGGAAAAUUAAAUAUUGGGGAAUAUUCUUACAUUUUCUCAAUAGAAACGUGUUUGUUAAAAUACAGAUGUAAAUGAUAAUACACUUGUACAGGUCUAUAAAAGGCAAGGUUGGAGGCAUUACAUACAGGCAUUGAAGUCCCACCAAACUUUUACUGCAUGUAAAAAAAAAAAUGGUUAAACAAAGCAGUUUGCCAGCUCAAAUAAGAAGACUUGAAGCUAUUUCCUUCUGAAACUGUGGUUCAAGCUUCAGCAGUCAGAAAUGCCAGUCUGUCAGGAGGUGUUUCUUGUGUGUGUUGCAACAGUUCAGUGAUUGGUAGUCUUUCAUAUCAUUGCUAGACUCAUUUUAAAAAUAAACAUUACUUGAUCCUAAUGAAAGCAUUUAUAAUGGAAUUGUUAAGAUAUUUUGACAGUUGCCUUUUGGUAGUCUGGGUAGAAAAUUUAAAAUUUGGAAAAUCAGUUUACAUGUUUGUUUGUGUCGCCUUCUGUUCUAAUUGCGAAUACAAGUCAAACACUUUAAACAUGCUCCCUGCUGCAGUUUUGAGUGAUUGAUCUCCCAAAGUCUAUUUUCUGAAGUAAAACAAAAAAUGAGACUUGCCAUAUUUCAAAGGAUUAUAUGGUGACAGCACCAAGAGCUUUUAAGUUUGCCACAAAGCAAAAGCCCAUAAAGUUAGUAGCUACAGACAUGUAAAGCCACAGUAUUUUGUCUAAACUUGUUUGCCUUUUCAUUCAAGUCAUGCCACUGCUGGUGUGAUGCAUUCAAUAUGCCCAGAGUUCUGCUACUCAUUUUUGGACUUUAACCACUUUACAGCUUGGUCCUGGAGAGAGGAGGGGAGGGAGGGAGACCAAGGAGCUCCCACUGGCCUUUUAAGUAUGUAAGGAACAGGAGUAGUUCAGGAUUUGAUGUUUGAUUUCACUCUCUUUACUGUACUAGGGUGAACUGACAGGUUAAUUUUAUGUAAUUACUGUUUAGUUUUUAAAGAGAGAGUUCACUUUAUCAGAUGCUGCUGAGAGUAAUUUUUUUGUGGCAAUUCUAGUGAGGUUUUUCCUUCUUACUCUGUGUUGGAGUCAGCUUCAACAUAAAAAAAAAAUAGGCUUUUUUGUGAUACUUCAGUUUUUAUCUUUGUUAGGUUUAUUUGUAGAAAGCUUACAAGCCAAACCUUAGUUGAGGAGGGCAUCCUACUUCUGACAAUGUAACACAUUAUAAGCCAUUUUUGUGAAGGGUGGAAUCUCCUGAAUACUUUUAUCCUUCAUAAAAAUACCUAUGAGUGUUACCAGUGUCAAAUGGUGCAAGUAAGUGAAGAACAUCCCUUUAAAAAUGUCAAAUUACUGUAUAAUACCUGUUUAAAAGACGUGUACUCAAACUGACACCAAUGGUUGUUGAGCGUUGUUAUUACUCAGCCUAAAAGACUGAGGCCCUACUGUUGGCCUAGAAUUAAUAGUGCUAAACUAGGUAGCCUUAUAAUCUGCAUAUGUUGAAUUUGAGUGAAAAAAAAAAAAAAAAAAGAGUAGGUCUGCACUCUGAGAGAGGGUUAGUAAU
This is a long non-coding RNA of Anas platyrhynchos (mallard), 12810 nucleotides long. RefSeq lists it as uncharacterized. The record is from RefSeq and is a predicted model, not a curated record. NCBI's taxonomy places the organism in Eukaryota, Metazoa, Chordata, Aves, Anseriformes, Anatidae.